RNAcentral lists this ribosomal RNA (395 nucleotides) under uncultured bacterium. Its description in RNAcentral is "partial 16S ribosomal RNA". It matches the Rfam family "Bacterial small subunit ribosomal RNA", at positions 523 to 918 of the family's 1533-position model. The record is from RNAcentral.
AUACGUAGGGUGCAAGCGUUAAUCGGAAUUACUGGGCGUAAAGCGUGCGCAGGCGGUUUUGUAAGACAGAGGGGAAAUCCCCGGGCUCAACCUGGGAACUGCCUUUGUGACUGCAAGGCUAGAGUACGGCAGAGGGGGAUGGAAUUCCGCGUGUAGCAGUGAAAUGCGUAGAUAUGCGGAGGAACACCGAUGGCGAAGGCAAUCCCCUGGGCCUGUACUGACGCUCAUGCACGAAAGCGUGGGGAGCAAACAGGAUUAGAUACCCUGGUAGUCCACGCCCUAAACGAUGUCAACUGGUUGUUGGGUCUUCAUUGACUCAGUAACGAAGCUAACGCGUGAAGUUGACCGCCUGGGGAGUACGGCCGCAAGGCUGAAACUCAAAGGAAUUGACGGGG